CUUUCUUUGCUGGCGACCGGCGCACGGGUGAGUAACACGUAUCCAACCUGCCCUUUACUCGGGGAUAGCCUUUCGAAAGAAAGAUUAAUACCCGAUAGCAUAAUGAUUCCGCAUGGUUUCAUUAUUAAAGGAUUCCGGUAAAGGAUGGGGAUGCGUUCCAUUAGGUUGUUGGUGAGGUAACGGCUCGCCAAGCCUUCGAUGGAUAGGGGUUCUGAGAGGAAGGUCCCCCACAUUGGAACUGAGACACGGUCCAA
Molecule: ribosomal RNA, 254 nt
Filed under: uncultured bacterium
Lineage: Bacteria
Description: partial 16S ribosomal RNA
Rfam family: Bacterial small subunit ribosomal RNA
Source: RNAcentral